UACGUAGGGUGCGAGCGUUAAUCGGAAUUACUGGGCGUAAAGCGUGCGCAGGCGGUUUUGUAAGACAGGUGUGAAAUCCCCGGGCUUAACCUGGGAACUGCGCUUGUGACUGCAAGACUCGAGUACGGCAGAGGGGGGUAGAAUUCCACGUGUAGCAGUGAAAUGCGUAGAGAUGUGGAGGAAUACCGAUGGCGAAGGCAGCCCCUGGGUCGAUACUGACGCUCAUGCACGAAAGCGUGGGGAGCAAACAGG
RNAcentral lists this ribosomal RNA (252 nucleotides) under uncultured bacterium. RNAcentral's name for it is "partial 16S ribosomal RNA". It matches the Rfam family "Bacterial small subunit ribosomal RNA", at positions 524 to 776 of the family's 1533-position model. The record is from RNAcentral.